This 620-nucleotide long non-coding RNA is filed under the name Brassica napus (rape). RNAcentral's name for it is "long non-coding RNA (BNAP_LNC010111)". Lineage: Eukaryota; Viridiplantae; Streptophyta; Magnoliopsida; Brassicales; Brassicaceae. The record is from RNAcentral.
CUGAAACAACAACGAGUGAGGAGUGAGUAAUCUAGCAUUACUCAGUGAGUUACAAUCCCCAACUAACAAAUACAACCCCUCGCUAUCCCACCCCAAACAAACUAAAGUGAGAGGUUCACCUAAUAACACAAUUCAAUAACAUAAGUAAUAUCAGAAAUACGCAGCGGUAAACGAUAGCAAGUUAACUAGCAUUAUGCUAAUUACUAGCUCAUCACCAAACUCAAACUCGACUUAAACCAGGGUUUAACAACCAAAAACACGAUAUAAUAUAUAUAAUAAACUCGGGCCCUGGUGACUUUAGGUUCCUCCUUCACUAUCGGCAAUAUCCUAUCUUCCUACCACAAAGGCCAGAAGAAGGAAAUUUCAACCGACCGCGGCCCACUGUCCUUCGGGUCACCGCGCGACAGCCCACAGUCCUUCGGGUCACUGCCACAUUACACCGUCGUGUAAUCACUCAGCCAUAGGCCAUGACCCCAUCUAUCUGAGUCUUCCCGAUCCAGCGAAUAAGGGGUUUUCUUGAGCCCGCCGGGUACGAGGUCUGAAGGAACACUAACUCACGGGUUACACAAAUGUUGUCGGCCAAUAUAUGAUUAAUACUAAACCCGGUAAAAAUAACACAA